Perca flavescens (yellow perch) is the source of this 653-nucleotide long non-coding RNA. RefSeq lists it as uncharacterized. The record is from RefSeq and is a predicted model, not a curated record. Lineage: Eukaryota; Metazoa; Chordata; Actinopteri; Perciformes; Percidae. The transcript is spliced from 3 exons.
UGUCAAAGUGACUCCAAUAGAUGAAUAGAGCCGGCCACUGGAUUCCUGGAGGAAAGGCUGCGGAACGUCAGGAAGCGGCUGAGAUCAACCAGCAGGUCGCAGAGCACGGCACAGACACCACCACAAACGCCAGAUGAUGGCGCUCUUGCAAGGGCUCUCAUACCAGAAUGUACCAUAUCAGACGAAUGUGGGUCACAGCUUAAAGAAUGGUUGAGAAAUAAUUCUCAGCCCCUCAGCCAGAUAGAGACCUACAUGCCGAACACAGCAGUCUACAGGGCCAAGUGGAUUAGGCACAACAAUUGGACCAUCGAUCAGAUCCUCGAAGAGUUCCCUCACCUAAUGACCAAAGGCAUGAUUGCACAGGCUUGUCCUGCAUGGGGAUGCUGCAUCAAAGUUGUUUGAAACUUGGUCACGUGAAAUGCCAGGAGGGGAGUCUAAAAUGGUAAAGUUUAUUCAAAGUAGAAUACUUGCUUGCAAGUAGAGCUAAUGGCUCUUAAUAGCAGCUUUUUAAUAGGAAUUUGAAUUUGUUCACUAUAGACCUGUUGAAUGUUCAGCCAGUUCAUUCGUAAUUGUUGUUUUGCUCUGAAUGUUUUGCUACCUGAGUGAUAUGAACUGCACCAGUUCCACUAUAUUGUUGAUAUAAUAAUUUUUUU